This 130-nucleotide ribosomal RNA is filed under the name Lipaphis erysimi (mustard aphid). Its description in RNAcentral is "partial 18S ribosomal RNA". It matches the Rfam family "Eukaryotic small subunit ribosomal RNA", at positions 889 to 1017 of the family's 1831-position model. Lineage: Eukaryota; Metazoa; Arthropoda; Insecta; Hemiptera; Aphididae. The record is from RNAcentral.
CAUUCGUACCGAGACGUUAGAGGUGAAAUUCUUGGAUCGUCUCGAGACGAACUGACGCGAAAGCAUUUGCCAAGUACGUUCUCGUAUGAUCAAGAACGAAAGUUAGAGGUUCGAAGGCGAUCAGAUACCG